UGCCACCAUGUCUAGCUAAUUUUUAUUUUUGGUUUUGUUUUCUAGCGAUAGAGUUUAGCUGUGUUUCCCAAGCUGGCCUUGAACUCUUGAGCUCAAGCAAUCCACGCAUCUCGGUUUCCCAAAGUGUGAGCAUUACAGACAUGAGCUACCACAUCUGUCCUCUUAUUACAAUUUAGAGAAAUUAAAGCCUAGAUUUCAAUGGAGGUGACUCAAGACAAUCUACUGCAAGAGUUGAAGUGAAACAUGGGAAAGAGAGGAGAGUAUCCUUGAUACUUUCUACUUGAGAGUCAUAAGGGAUAGAUAUAUACUCCAGAAUAGGAGCAUGAGAGGAAAAAGCAAAACCUUACUAUCCAAGAGCAAAAUAGUAUCUCCUGAAUGAAUGGAUCGAUGGAUGCAAACAUUACUGUUACUGAGGCAGAAGACCUACAUUCGAAUCAACACCUCGCUAUUUAUACUUAAUCCCAAGCAAACCAUAAACUCUCUGUGAAAGACAAUGUAGAAGUAUGAAUGUGAUCUUCUGUCUUCUUAAAACCAGGUGGCUAGACUGGGCAAUUCCUUCGUGGUCUUAUCAGCAGUAUGAUCAAUUUCUCCAUAUGCAAAAGAUUGCAAGAUUUGUCUUCUAGGAAAUGGAGUGUGAGAGUUUAUGGGCCACUCUAUCGUGUUGAGCAACAGAGGGAUUGUUUGAGCUGUAGAGAGCUGAAAAUAUUAGAGAAGAUGGAAAAGAAAGCUGACUUUCUGAGACCACCUGCAAGAGAAGAAACUAAAAAUAAUCAACUUCCUGCAACUAGGUAUCUUGUCUCCC
RNAcentral lists this long non-coding RNA (802 nucleotides) under Rhinopithecus bieti (black snub-nosed monkey). RNAcentral's name for it is "lncRNA (ENSRBIG00000045384.1)". The record is from RNAcentral. Lineage: Eukaryota; Metazoa; Chordata; Mammalia; Primates; Cercopithecidae.